UAUUCGGUAAACAUGCUGUAG
This is a non-coding RNA of Caenorhabditis elegans, 21 nucleotides long. The record is from Ensembl. NCBI's taxonomy places the organism in Eukaryota, Metazoa, Nematoda, Chromadorea, Rhabditida, Rhabditidae.